Molecule: ribosomal RNA, 490 nt
Filed under: uncultured bacterium
Lineage: Bacteria
Description: partial 16S ribosomal RNA
Rfam family: Bacterial small subunit ribosomal RNA
Source: RNAcentral
AUUGAACGCUGGCGGCAGGCCUAACACAUGCAAGUCGAACGGUAACAGGAAGAAGCUUGCUUCUUUGCUGACGAGUGGCGGACGGGUGAGUAAUGUCUGGGAAACUGCCUGAUGGAGGGGGAUAACUACUGGAAACGGUAGCUAAUACCGCAUAACGUCGCAAGAUCAAAAAGGGGGACCUUCGGGCCUCUUGCCAUCGGAUGUGCCCAGAUGGGAUUAGCUAGUAGGUGGGGUAACGGCUCACCUAGGCGACGAUCCCUAGCUGGUCUGAGAGGAUGACCAGCCACACUGGAACUGAGACACGGUCCAGACUCCUACGGGAGGCAGCAGUGGGGAAUAUUGCACAAUGGGCGCAAGCCUGAUGCAGCCAUGCCGCGUGUAUGAAGAAGGCCUUCGGGUUGUAAAGUACUUUCAGCGGGGAGGAAGGGAGUAAAGUUAAUACCUUUGCUCAUUGACGUUACCCGCAGAAGAAGCACCGGCUAACUCCGUG